RNAcentral lists this ribosomal RNA (492 nucleotides) under uncultured bacterium. Its description in RNAcentral is "partial 16S ribosomal RNA". It matches the Rfam family "Bacterial small subunit ribosomal RNA", at positions 29 to 507 of the family's 1533-position model. The record is from RNAcentral.
AGUGAACGCUGGCGGUAGGCCUAACACAUGCAAGUCGAACGGCAGCACAGUAAGAGCUUGCUCUUACGGGUGGCGAGUGGCGGACGGGUGAGGAAUACAUCGGAAUCUACUUUUUCGUGGGGGAUAACGUAGGGAAACUUACGCUAAUACCGCAUACGACCUACGGGUGAAAGCAGGGGAUCUUCGGACCUUGCGCGAUUGAAUGAGCCGAUGUCGGAUUAGCUAGUUGGCGGGGUAAAGGCCCACCAAGGCGACGAUCCGUAGCUGGUCUGAGAGGAUGAUAGGCCACACUGGAACUGAGACACGGUCCAGACUCCUGCGGGAGGCAGCAGUGGGGAAUAUUGGACAAUGGGCGCAAGCCUGAUCCAGCCAUACCGCGUGGGUGAAGGAGGCCUUCGGGUUGUAAAGCCCUUUUGUUGGGAAAGAAAAGCAGCAGGUUAAUACCCCGCUGUUCUGACGGUACCCAAAGAAUAAGCACCGGCUAACUUCGUG